This 232-nucleotide long non-coding RNA is filed under the name Setaria italica (foxtail millet). RNAcentral's name for it is "long non-coding RNA (SITA_LNC006646)". The record is from RNAcentral. Lineage: Eukaryota; Viridiplantae; Streptophyta; Magnoliopsida; Poales; Poaceae.
GGGUCGUCCGGUGGAGCUGGAGCACAAUCACAACGGCAGUGCACGACUGACAGUAGCAGUCCCUCUCUUCGCGAAUGCCAAUAAUAGCCACGAGGCAAAAUGUCAAAAAUACAGCAACGUUCAAUAAGAAAUGUCAAUAACACAUAAUAAUGUGUUCUUAUUAUACAUCGUCAAAGGUAGGUUUGCAAAAAGAAAAAGAAAAAAAGAAAAGAAAGGUUAACACAGGGUUCAU